CUCAGCAAAAAGAGGAGGAUUGGCAGCAGAUGUUAGCUCAGGGUUAAUCUUCCUAAAAAAAAAAAAUUAAAAAACCAAAAAGAAUGUUAACCUUUUUUCUGUAUUCAUUAAAAUAAUCAUAUGAUUUUUCUCCAUUUUAUCUGUUAAUAUGGUUAACUGGUUGAUUUUUUAAUGUUAAACCAACCUUACAUUCCUGGAAUAAACCCAACUUAAUUAAUUAUCCUUUUUAUUUGUAGUUAGAUUUGAUUUGCUAAUAUUUUGUCUAGGAUUUUUUGCAUUUAUGUUCAUGAGAGAGGUAGGUGAACCUGUAAUUUCCCUUUCCUGAAAAGGUCUUAUCAAGUUUCAAUAUCCAGGUCAUUCUAGCCUUGUAAUAUUUGUUGGGAAAUGUCCCCCAUGCCCUUUAAAAAAUUUUCUGGACGAAUUUGUGUAAGUUUAGAAUAAUUUACCAGCAAUGACAUAAGGACCUGAAGAUUUCUCAGAGAGAAGGUUUUAAUCAAAGAUUCAAUUUCUUUAAAAGGUGUAAUACUCUUCAUACCACUAGGCAAGGGAAAAUGUGGAAUAUAACAACCUGAUCAGGUCAGACUUUUAGAAAUUCACUCUGGCCUUACUUCAGAGGUUGGAUUGAAGGCAGCCAACACUGGACAGAGACACCAGUCAGGAAACUGUGACAACAUUUGCUCGUUGACAUCAGUGCUAGCCAGUGGCAAAGACGUGGAGAAGAGGGGAACAGGUGAAAAUAAACAUUUAAAUUUUUUUCCAAAAGAAAUUAUUUAGAAAAGAGGGUAAUAAGACAAGGAUGGUCAAUCUUAAAAGUCUGAAUUAACUGUGUAUUUUUUUUACUUCCAUAACGAGAAUCAGAGAGCUGGCACCAUUUCACAAGGUUCUUGGCCAGCCUGAAAACUAUGACCUUGGAGCAUCAUUUAUUCAAGUUGCUAAUCAAAACACAGGACAUCAAAACUAGUCAUUUUUCACCGUAUGGAAAGUGAUUCCCAAAUAUAAUACAGUAUUAUUAUUAUUAUUCCUUGACUGAGGUGUAGGCGUGGUCAGGGUGGACCUUACACCCGUGAUAUAUCCUUCCCAUCUCCCCGUUCCCUUCUCGAGUUUCUUUUUGACACUUCCCACCCAUCCCCAUCUGGGCCCUGCUCAUGACUUGACAGGACACAGGGGUGAUGGCCAUUGGAAGCAAGUUGAGCUAGGAGGUAUUACCUGGAUGUUCCUCCUAUAAUUAUCCAGGGGAGAAGGAGAAAGAGGAGAACAGGAGACUUCUUGACUAAGUCAAGCUAGGAACAGAGAUAACCGUUAAGCAGAAAGGGCUAAUAAGUGAGUCUAGAGAAAAUAACACAGGGUGUUAAGGAGGACACAGUGGGCAGUGAGGGGUGAGGAAAAGACUUAAGAUUUAAAUCUGCAGUGCUGGACUGCUAUGCAGAGUACCUGUGUGUGUGGG
RNAcentral lists this long non-coding RNA (1444 nucleotides) under Equus caballus (horse). RNAcentral describes it as "lncRNA (ENSECAG00000056533.1)". The record is from RNAcentral. Lineage: Eukaryota; Metazoa; Chordata; Mammalia; Perissodactyla; Equidae.